Molecule: ribosomal RNA, 289 nt
Filed under: uncultured Acidobacteriota bacterium
Lineage: Bacteria; Pseudomonadati; Acidobacteriota
Description: uncultured Acidobacteria bacterium partial 16S ribosomal RNA
Rfam family: Bacterial small subunit ribosomal RNA
Source: RNAcentral
CGCAACGAGCGCAACCCCUGCCUCCUGUUGCUAACGAGUAAAGUCGAGCACUCUGGAGAGACUGCCGGUGAUAAACCGGAGGAAGGUGGGGAUGACGUCAAGUCCUCAUGGCCUUUAUGCCCCGGGCUACACACGUGCUACAAUGGCUGGUACAAAGGGUUGCAAAACCGCGAGGUGGAGCUAAUCCCAAAAAACCAGUCCCAGUUCGGAUUGCCCUUCGAGCCUCGACUGCAUGAAGUUGGAAUCGCUAGUAAUCGCGGAUCAGCACGCCGCGGUGAAUACGUUCCCG